RNAcentral lists this ribosomal RNA (779 nucleotides) under uncultured archaeon. RNAcentral describes it as "bacterial SSU rRNA". It matches the Rfam family "Archaeal small subunit ribosomal RNA", at positions 536 to 1314 of the family's 1478-position model. The record is from RNAcentral.
AGUCUUCUGGGAAAUCUAAUCGCUUAACUAUUAGGCUUCCAGGGGAUACUGUUAGACUUGGGACCGGGAGAGGUAAGAGGUACUGCAGGGGUAGGAGUGAAAUCUUGUAAUCCCUGUGAGACCACCAGUGGCGAAGGCGUCUUACCAGAACGGGUCCGACGGUGAGGGACGAAAGCUGGGGGCACGAACCGGAUUAGAUACCCGGGUAGUCCCAGCUGUAAACGAUGCUCGUUAGGUGUCAGGAACGGUGCGACUGUUUCUGGUGCCGAAGGGAAGCCGUGAAACGAGCCACCUGGGAAGUACGGCCGCAAGGCUGAAACUUAAAGGAAUUGGCGGGAGAGCACUACAACGGGUGGAGCCUGCGGUUUAAUUGGACUCAACGCAGGAAAACUCACCGGGGGCGACAGCAAUAUGUAGGUCAGGUUAAAGGUCUUACCUGAAUCGCUGAGAGGAGGUGCAUGGCCGUCGUCAGUUCGUACUGUGAAGCAUCCUGUUAAGUCAGGCAACGAGCAAGACCCGUGCCCACUGUUACCAGCAUAUCCUUUAUGGAUGAUGGGGACUCUGUGGGGACCGCUGCUGCUAAAGCAGAGGAAGGUGCGGGCUACGGUAGGUCAGUAUGCCCCGAAUCUCCCGGGCUACACGCGGGCUACAAUGGUUGGGACAAUGGGUAUCUACUCCGAAAGGAGUUGGCAAUCUCUUAAACCCAAUCGUAGUUCGAAUUGAGGGCUGAACUCGCCCUCAUGAAGCUGGAAUCCGUAGUAAUCGCGUUUCAACAUAGC